Long non-coding RNA from Alosa sapidissima (American shad), 102 nucleotides. RefSeq lists it as uncharacterized. The record is from RefSeq and is a predicted model, not a curated record. Lineage: Eukaryota; Metazoa; Chordata; Actinopteri; Clupeiformes; Clupeidae. The transcript is spliced from 4 exons.
GGCUGCGCUCAAAAACAAUAAUUUUUCGGAUUGCUAAAUCUAAGAAGCCCUUUACUACUGGGGAAGAGUUAAUUCUGCCUGCUGGUAAAGGCAUGUGCAAUG